Molecule: ribosomal RNA, 253 nt
Filed under: uncultured bacterium
Lineage: Bacteria
Description: partial 16S ribosomal RNA
Rfam family: Bacterial small subunit ribosomal RNA
Source: RNAcentral
UACGUAGGGUGCAAGCGUUAAUCGGAAUUAUUGGGCGUAAAGCGUGCGCAGGCGGUUUUGUAAGUUUGUCGUGAAAGCCCCGGGCUCAACCUGGGAAUUGCGAUGAAGACUGCAAGGCUUGAAUCUGGCAGAGGGGGGUAGAAUUCCACGUGUAGCAGUGAAAUGCGUAGAGAUGUGGAGGAACACCGAUGGCGAAGGCAGCCCCCUGGGCCGACACUGACGCUCAUGCACGAAAGCGUGGGGAGCAAACAGG